This 502-nucleotide ribosomal RNA is filed under the name Acrobeloides sp. PS-1146. RNAcentral's name for it is "SSU rRNA". It matches the Rfam family "Eukaryotic small subunit ribosomal RNA", at positions 88 to 590 of the family's 1831-position model. The record is from RNAcentral. Lineage: Eukaryota; Metazoa; Nematoda; Chromadorea; Rhabditida; Cephalobidae.
CGCGAAUGGCUCAUUACAACAGCUAUAAUUUACUUGAUCUUGACUUCCUACUUGGAUGACUGUGGUAAUUCUAGAGCUAAUACAUGCACCAAAGCUCCGACCUUACGGGAAGAGCGCAUUUAUUCGAACAAAACCAAGCGGCUUCGGCCGUCCGCAGUUGACUCAGAAUAACUAAGCUGAUCGCAUGGUCUUGAACCGGCGACGUGUCUUUCAAGUAUCUGCCGUAUCAACUUUCGAUGGUAGUGUAUCUGACUACCAUGGUGAUCACGCGUAACGGAGAAUAAGGGUUCGGCUCCGGAGAGUUCGCCUGAGAAAUCGCGAACACAUCUAAGGAAGGCAGCAGGCGCGAAAAUUACCCACUCUCAGCACGAGGAGGUAGUGACGAAAAAUAACGAGACCGUUCUCUUAUGAGGCCGGUCAUCGGAAUGGGUACAAUUUAAACCCUUUAACGAGUAUCUAUGAGAGGGCAAGUCUGGUGCCAGCAGCCGCGGUAAUUCCAGCU